AUAGUUUAGAAUGCUUUUCAAAUAUUCCUUACAUUUUUUGAUAUUUAUAGAAAAAAUCUUAUGAAUUCUGAAACUGAU
Styela clava is the source of this 78-nucleotide small nucleolar RNA. RefSeq annotates it as small nucleolar RNA SNORD34. The record is from RefSeq and is a predicted model, not a curated record. Lineage: Eukaryota; Metazoa; Chordata; Ascidiacea; Stolidobranchia; Styelidae.